Long non-coding RNA from Rhipicephalus sanguineus (brown dog tick), 461 nucleotides. RefSeq lists it as uncharacterized. NCBI's taxonomy places the organism in Eukaryota, Metazoa, Arthropoda, Arachnida, Ixodida, Ixodidae. The record is from RefSeq and is a predicted model, not a curated record. The transcript is spliced from 3 exons.
GAGCGCGCUUUCUUGUGGACGCAUCAGACGCAUCAUGUCACAGGUCACCGGCGUAUUUUAUAUCCGGCGUCUUUGAAAUAUUUAUGUUGGCACGGUCCGUGGAUUCAGCCACAUUCGAGCCAACUGCAGUGGACACGGUGCACGGGCGCAGCAAGCAUAACGUGUGGGAGCUACUGUACUCGCAUGUCUGAUUGCUGACGCAACGCGGAACAAAGAAAGAACCCUAAGCAACGAGAUAUAUCCGCGAGCUCGUCUCCUGAAGCUGAAGCAGAGCGGGCAACAGUUUGACAACGAAUACCCUUGGUAGCAGGCAUUGUAGAGCUGUACUAUAAGCCCCCUCUGUAUGAGAUGUUUUCACCGAACAAUUGUUGUGUAAUAAAGGCUCUUCGUGUUGAACACCACCUAGUUUCGAUUGGGUGACCAUUUACUAUUAACUGGAUUGCCUGUUGAACACCAGUUCA